CCUACGGAGGCUGCAGUGGGGAAUAUUGGACAAUGGGCGAAAGCCUGAUCCAGCCAUGCCGCGUGUGUGAAGAAGGCCUUCGGGUUGUAAAGCACUUUCAGUGGGGAAGAAAGCCUUGGGGCUAAUACCCUCGAGGAAGGACAUCACCCACAGAAGAAGCACCGGCUAACUCCGUGCCAGCAGCCGCGGUAAUACGGAGGGUGCGAGCGUUAAUCGGAAUUACUGGGCGUAAAGCGCGCGUAGGCGGUCUGAUAAGCCGGUUGUGAAAGCCCCGGGCUCAACCUGGGAACGGCAUCCGGAACUGUCAGGCUAGAGUGCAGGAGAGGAAGGUAGAAUUCCCGGUGUAGCGGUGAAAUGCGUAGAGAUCGGGAGGAAUACCAGUGGCGAAGGCGGCCUUCUGGACUGACACUGACGCUGAGGUGCGAAAGCGUGGGUAGCAAACAGGAUUAGAUACCCUAGUAGUC
Molecule: ribosomal RNA, 464 nt
Filed under: Vreelandella stevensii
Lineage: Bacteria; Pseudomonadati; Pseudomonadota; Gammaproteobacteria; Oceanospirillales; Halomonadaceae
Description: partial 16S ribosomal RNA
Rfam family: Bacterial small subunit ribosomal RNA
Source: RNAcentral